Molecule: transfer RNA, 86 nt
Filed under: Candidatus Heimdallarchaeota archaeon
Lineage: Archaea; Promethearchaeati; Candidatus Heimdallarchaeota
Also listed under: 3 other names
Description: tRNA-Ser
Rfam family: tRNA
About the family: Transfer RNA (tRNA) molecules are approximately 80 nucleotides in length. Their secondary structure includes four short double-helical elements and three loops (D, anti-codon, and T loops).
Source: RNAcentral
GCCAGGAUAGCCAAGCGGACAACGGCGCUGGUCUUGAAAAUCAGUUCCUUAUAGGAUCCGGGGUUCAAAUCCCCGUCCUGGCUCCA